Molecule: ribosomal RNA, 271 nt
Organism: Bacteroides stercoris
Lineage: Bacteria; Pseudomonadati; Bacteroidota; Bacteroidia; Bacteroidales; Bacteroidaceae
Rfam family: Bacterial small subunit ribosomal RNA
Source: Rfam
CAACUGACUGAAUCGGAAACGGUUCUUUCUUCGGACAGUUGUGAAGGUGCUGCAUGGUUGUCGUCAGCUCGUGCCGUGAGGUGUCGGCUUAAGUGCCAUAACGAGCGCAACCCUUACGGGUAGUUACCAUCAGGUUAUGCUGGGGACUCUACCCGGACUGCCGUCGUAAGAUGUGAGGAAGGUGGGGAUGACGUCAAAUCAGCACGGCCCUUACGUCCGGGGCUACACACGUGUUACAAUGGGGGGUACAGAAGGCAGCUACACGGCGACG